UAUUCUGGUGUCCUAGGCGUAGAGGAACCACACCAAUCCAUCCCGAAUUUGGUGGUUAAACUCUACUGCGGUGACGAUACUGUAGGGGAGGUCCUGCGGCAAAAUAGCUCGAUGCCAGAA
Molecule: ribosomal RNA, 120 nt
Filed under: Saccharum spontaneum (wild sugarcane)
Lineage: Eukaryota; Viridiplantae; Streptophyta; Magnoliopsida; Poales; Poaceae
Also listed under: 1 other name
Source: RNAcentral